Long non-coding RNA from Polypterus senegalus (gray bichir), 1896 nucleotides. RefSeq lists it as uncharacterized. The transcript has 3 exons. The record is from RefSeq and is a predicted model, not a curated record. NCBI's taxonomy places the organism in Eukaryota, Metazoa, Chordata, Cladistia, Polypteriformes, Polypteridae.
AAAUGAUAAAAGAUCGCAUUGUUUUUGCUUUUCGUUGAAGGCGUGCCAAACGGAAGCACGGUUGUCCGAAAGAACGUGACAUGACUGUUUGGCCUUCUGUGCUAGACGUACGGGAUGUGGUGAAGUGAGUGUUUAGCAUGGACACGGGGAAGGAUACUUAAGGAAUUGCGUCAUUUUUAAAGAGAUGAAGUGCGGCUUCGGGUUUUCGGAACCGACAAAAGGAAAUAAAAACGACUUUAAAGGACCCUGCAAACGGACAUGGCUGGGUGCUAGCAAUAAAAGAUUGUUCAGAGGAGCACUCCAUUCCCAGGUCCAUUAUACCAGAGAGCAAUGGACCUCAACACAUACUAUUUGAAUGAGGACAUGACAAACUUGGCAAACCUGGCUGAAGCUGGAGACUUUCACACAUUAACAGACAGCUGCUGGGAGAACACCGAUGCCACAGUCAACCUUGCUUGCAAAUGCAGGCUUUAACAAAGACCAAACACUGUUUUUGAUUGAUGUGGCAGCACAUUGGGACUGAAGGCAUAGGUCUACCAAAAAUUCAAAAUGACCUGAACACACGCUUUAAAAAAGGCAAACAGAAAGGAAUUACCUUCUUGGAGGACAACAUUAUAUAGUCUUUCUUGUUCUUGAAUCAUCAGAGAGGAUAGAGGUGCAUGGGCCCGAAGCUCUAAGACAUUGUAGAUGUUUCACAGCAUGCACUGGCACUGUGUCCAGCCAAGCAACAACACCAAUUGCCAUACCAACAUCACCUCAUAAAAAAGAAGGGUGCAUAACUAGUUUAAUCAGUUCCUGCAAGAGUCAGAAGAAGCCAGUUGGCAGUGCCAUGAAGAGACUCUAGCACAAAUGAAGUCUGCUGAGCAUGUUUUUGAGGCUCUGAUGAGUAAAUUGUUGCACAAGCUACAAUCUGUUGCUAUUUGGAGAAGCUUGUACUGGUCAUUGGGAAACAGUUACAUUAUUUGUAUACAGUUUAUUUGAGGCUUUCAGGACAAGGAAUAGUGUUUUGGUAUAUAGCUUUUAAAAUGUGUAUAUGUUUUGAAUACAAAUACUUAUGUUACAGUUUGGAUAUUUUGGACAUUGUGAACUCCUCAUGUAACUUUUAACCAAUUAAAUGCAGAGCUGCUGCCAUAAGUUACACUCAGCCAACAUAACUGUCAGGAUUCAAAUACGAAUAACUUGAGAAAGAGAGCUGAGAAAAAGGGAUGAAGAGGAGGCAUCCAGGUGAGAGCAAACAGACCAUCUCUGCUCAGAAUGCAGAGACAUCAGCAACUGCUAUUUUUUUUUGUUUCUCUGAAACAGGGCUAGCUCCUGAAACUCUAGACACAGUGAUAAUUUCUUACAAUACAGGUUUUUCAGUCUUUCACAGAUAUCUGAGUUAAUUUUCCAAUAAAAGCAAAGGGGGAGAUACUCCUUUAGAGGAUAAUAUUUCACAUAUUUUUUUGUGAACAACAUGUGGCAUGCAAAUGAUAAGAUUUUCUCUAAAAGCUGUACACCUGAUUCAGAAACGAUUAAUGAUCAGGUUUAGUCUAUUAUAUCUUCAAAAGGAAUUAUCUGUUGUUUUUCACCUUCCCAUUUUGUGAUGUAGUGUUCCUGACAGUAUUUUUCUUUUCUACAUCAUUUGCUGGGAGCCUUGCAUUUGCCAGUGAAACACAACAAAUUGGUUCACAAAAAUAUUUGUUCCCCUUUAAUAUUCUCUGUAGUUCCUUGCUUGUUGCAGACUUCUUCACAGAUGACAAUACUGUAUCAGAAAUAUAUUUUUUGCUAUUUCCUCUUCUGAAAAAUUUUCCCCUUGCUUUUAAUAUACCACCACAUCUUUAACUGCUCUCUUGCUAGUAGUACUGUAUAAUAAAAUACAUAUUUUUCAUUUUUGACAAUAUUCCUGGCUUUUAAGAA